AAAUUGAAGAGUUUGAUCAUGGCUCAGAUUGAACGCUGGCGGCAGGCCUAACACAUGCAAGUCGGACGGUAGCACAGAGAGCUUGCUCUUGGGUGACGAGUGGCGGACGGGUGAGUAAUGUCUGGGGAUCUGCCCGAUAGAGGGGGAUAACCACUGGAAACGGUGGCUAAUACCGCAUAACGUCGCAAGACCAAAGAGGGGGACCUUCGGGCCUCUC
This 217-nucleotide ribosomal RNA is filed under the name Pantoea sp. M_10. RNAcentral's name for it is "partial 16S ribosomal RNA". It matches the Rfam family "Bacterial small subunit ribosomal RNA", at positions 1 to 218 of the family's 1533-position model. RNAcentral also lists the same sequence under 1 other name. Lineage: Bacteria; Pseudomonadati; Pseudomonadota; Gammaproteobacteria; Enterobacterales; Erwiniaceae. The record is from RNAcentral.